AUGAACGCUGGCGGCGUGCUUUAACACAUGCAAGUCGAACGAACCUUCGGGUUAGUGGCGGACGGGUGAGUAACGCGUGGGAACCUGCCCUCAGGAGGGGGAUAACGGCUGGAAACGGCCGCUAAUAGCCCAUAUGCCGAGAGGUGAAAUGAAAUUCGCCUGAGGAUGGGACCGCGUCUGAUUAGCUAGUUGGUGGGGUAAAGGCCUACCAAGGCGACGAUCAGUAGCUGGUCUGAGAGGAUGAUCAGCCACACUGGGACUGAGACACGGCCCAGACUCCUACGGGAGGCAGCAGUGGGGAAUUUUCCGCAAUGGGCGAAACGCUGACGGAUGCAACGCCGCGUGAGGG
Molecule: ribosomal RNA, 349 nt
Filed under: uncultured Synechococcus sp.
Lineage: Bacteria; Bacillati; Cyanobacteriota; Cyanophyceae; Synechococcales; Synechococcaceae
Description: bacterial SSU rRNA
Rfam family: Bacterial small subunit ribosomal RNA
Source: RNAcentral